UGAGUAACACGUAUCCAACCUGCCGUCUACUCUUGGCCAGCCUUCUGAAAGGAAGAUUAAUCCAGGAUGGCAUCAUGAGUUCACAUGUCCGCAUGAUUAAAGGUAUUUUCCGGUAGACGAUGGGGAUGCGUUCCAUUAGAUAGUAGGCGGGGUAACGGCCCACCAAGACUACGAUGGAUAGGGGUUCUGAGAGGAAGGUCCCCCACAUUGGAACUGAGACACGGUCCAA
RNAcentral lists this ribosomal RNA (229 nucleotides) under uncultured bacterium. Its description in RNAcentral is "partial 16S ribosomal RNA". It matches the Rfam family "Bacterial small subunit ribosomal RNA", at positions 107 to 334 of the family's 1533-position model. The record is from RNAcentral.